Molecule: ribosomal RNA, 118 nt
Filed under: Sarcocystis buffalonis
Lineage: Eukaryota; Apicomplexa; Conoidasida; Eucoccidiorida; Sarcocystidae
Description: partial 5.8S ribosomal RNA
Rfam family: 5.8S ribosomal RNA
About the family: 5.8S ribosomal RNA (5.8S rRNA) is a component of the large subunit of the eukaryotic ribosome. It is transcribed by RNA polymerase I as part of the 45S precursor that also contains 18S and 28S rRNA.
Source: RNAcentral
AUUUUCAGCGAUGGAUGUCUUGGCUCGCGCAACGAUGAAGGACGCAGUGAAAUGCGAAACGCGAUGUGAAUUGCAGAAUUCAGGGAAUCAUCAGAUUUCUGAACGCAAAUGGCACCUU